AUACAAGUGAUUUAAAUCACCUCUUUAUUACCCACCUCCUUGUUAGAGAGGACACCCUUGCUCUCAGAUUCCAAGAACCAGGUCUAAAAGGAGAAUGUGGAUUCUGGCUUCCAUGUUCAGGUGACUUUGAGUUUGGGAGAAGACCCAGAAAGAGCCAUGGGAAGUGCAGAAAGUGGGAACUGCUCCUGCUUACCUGGCCAGCUAAGAUGUCCUACUACGGUUAAGACCGAAAUCGCUCAGCAGCCACACGUUUCAAAUUGAGCCCGAAGACCAAAAUUCUGGCUUUCCUGUAAUUUGUUUUGACACGAUCUCAGGGAAGAGCGCUGCAAGCAAGAGACGAACACUGAGGACAACAGGAACCCUCUGUCAAACCGACAGACGACGAUGUGCCCAUUUCUUGCUGCAUAGGGUAUUCACCUUGCCGGGGCAUUCCGCGGAGACAUGGUUAACCCAAAUCAGACUGACACGUUGGCA
Bos taurus (domestic cattle) is the source of this 474-nucleotide long non-coding RNA. NCBI's taxonomy places the organism in Eukaryota, Metazoa, Chordata, Mammalia, Artiodactyla, Bovidae. The record is from Ensembl.